GACGUAGGGCGCGAGCGUUGUCCGGAUUUAUUGGGCGUAAAGGGCUCGUAGGCGGUUUGUCGCGUCGGGAGUGAAAACACCGGGCUUAACUCGGUGCUUGCUUUCGAUACGGGCAGACUUGAGGCAUGCAGGGGAGAACGGAAUUCCUGGUGUAGCGGUGAAAUGCGCAGAUAUCAGGAGGAACACCGGUGGCGAAGGCGGUUCUCUGGGCAUGUUCUGACGCUGAGGAGCGAAAGUGUGGGGAGCGAACAGG
This 253-nucleotide ribosomal RNA is filed under the name uncultured bacterium. Its description in RNAcentral is "partial 16S ribosomal RNA". It matches the Rfam family "Bacterial small subunit ribosomal RNA", at positions 524 to 776 of the family's 1533-position model. The record is from RNAcentral.